This 428-nucleotide ribosomal RNA is filed under the name uncultured soil bacterium. RNAcentral's name for it is "bacterial SSU rRNA". It matches the Rfam family "Bacterial small subunit ribosomal RNA", at positions 26 to 450 of the family's 1533-position model. The record is from RNAcentral.
AGAUUGAACGCUGGCGGCAGGCCUAACACAUGCAAGUCGAGCGGCAGCACGGGUACUUGUACCUGGUGGCGAGCGGCGGACGGGUGAGUAAUGCCUAGGAAUCUGCCUGGUAGUGGGGGGAUAACGCUCGGAAACGGACGCUAAUACCGCAUACGUCCUACGGGAGAAAGCAGGGGACCUUCGGGCCUUGCGCUAUCAGAUGAGCCUAGGUCGGAUUAGCUAGUUGGUGAGGUAAUGGCUCACCAAGGCGACGAUCCGUAACUGGUCUGAGAGGAUGAUCAGUCACACUGGAACUGAGACACGGUCCAGACUCCGUACGGGAGCAGCAGUGGGAAUAGUGGACAAGUGGGACGAAAGCCUGAUCCAGCCAUCGCCGCGUGUGUGAAGAAGGUCUCGGAUUGUAAAGCUAACGUUUAAGUUGGAGGAGG